CAUGGAAGGCGUCUUCUAUGUACAUAGUCCACCCUGACUCACAACUGUUGUAUUCCUCCUCCUCCUCAGAGACUCCAUGGUUCCUUGGAGACUCCAUGGCUUUGAGCAACGCAAAGAAUAACACAAAAGCAAGGAAAAGCAGGAGCCUAUAAGAAGCCUCAUAUAAUUGAAGAGAAGGAGUAAGUUUCACCACAUGGCAACCCUUAGAACCAUUGUUUUCACUCCCUUGAAGCACUACCAGACAAAGCCAACUGCAGAUAUAUAUAUAUCAAGGAAGUUAAAAAAAAACAAUUCUGAAAGGGGGUGGUACUACAGUGGGCCUCGUGAACUUGGAGAGAUGUGUGUGUGAAGAUUUAUUCGAGUUUGUACAUAUCGUUAAUGUCUGAAGAAAACGGAGUUGGACUCAUUGGAUUUUUUUUCUUUUCAUGUGAGACUGUGUAAUGUCAUUGUACGUCAUUUAUUAUUGUCACUGAUUCAUUUAUUUGUAGGUUUAAAUAUGGAAAAGUCACAGAUAUUGAAAGCAUCAUCAUCAGAGAUUCACUGGCUUCAAGUAAUUGAUAACUUUGGUUGGCAAGUCAGUGAGAAAAGGGACGGGACUUUGUGUUGUUUGCCUCAUCUAUUGUUUUCCUAUACUUUGGUUGUUUGUUUACUAUACCUUUAA
Long non-coding RNA from Raphanus sativus (radish), 661 nucleotides. RefSeq lists it as uncharacterized. The record is from RefSeq and is a predicted model, not a curated record. NCBI's taxonomy places the organism in Eukaryota, Viridiplantae, Streptophyta, Magnoliopsida, Brassicales, Brassicaceae. The transcript has 3 exons.